UACGUAGGGGGCAAGCGUUGUUCGGAAUUACUGGGCGUAAAGGGCGCGUAGGCGGCACGGCAAGUCAGGCGUGAAAGGCCUGGGCUCAACCGAGGAACUGCUUUUGAGACUGCCGAGCUAGAGUGCGGAAGGGGCAACCGGAAUUCCCAGUGUAGCGGUGAAAUGCGUAGAUAUUGGGAAGAACACCUGAGGCGAAGGCGGGUUGCUGGGCCGACACUGACGCUGAGGCGCGAAAGCCAGGGGAGCAAACGGG
This 253-nucleotide ribosomal RNA is filed under the name uncultured bacterium. RNAcentral's name for it is "partial 16S ribosomal RNA". It matches the Rfam family "Bacterial small subunit ribosomal RNA", at positions 524 to 776 of the family's 1533-position model. The record is from RNAcentral.